CCUCUCGAGCUUUCACAAGACAUCACGGAGAUAUUUCUCCAUUAUGGGAACGAUAUUCAAUCCCGCCGUGAGAGAGGCUACGAGCAGCCUGUUCAAGUUACACACUCAGCGAAGAUAGAACACACACAAUUCCCAACCAAUAAAACAAGUGUAAUAAAGUCU
Molecule: long non-coding RNA, 162 nt
Organism: Sinocyclocheilus grahami
Lineage: Eukaryota; Metazoa; Chordata; Actinopteri; Cypriniformes; Cyprinidae
Exons: 3
Source: RefSeq, a predicted model, not a curated record